RNAcentral lists this unclassified non-coding RNA (409 nucleotides) under soil metagenome. Its description in RNAcentral is "partial contains 5.8S ribosomal RNA, internal transcribed spacer 2, and large subunit ribosomal RNA". The stretch from base 1 to 121 matches the Rfam family "5.8S ribosomal RNA", at positions 35 to 154 of the family's 154-position model. The record is from RNAcentral.
GAUGAAGAACGCAGCGAAAUGCGAUAGGUAGUGUGAAUUGCAGAUGUAACGUGAAUCAUCGAAGCUUUGAACGGAAAUUGCUCUCUCUGGUAUUCCGGGGAGUAUGCCUGUUUGAGGGUCGCCAAAUCAACAUCGAAAUUCAUUUGCUUUUUGUAAAUGUUUAUCGGAUUUGAGCCGUCUUUUUUUAUUUUAAUUAAAGUGGCUUAAAAUGUAUUUUUUUGGUAUCGAAAAACGUUAUUUUACGAUCAAAUUGAUUAAAAAAACAAACGUUUUCGAAUGCCGCCUUUUUAAUGUAAUACGUUUGACUGUGAUGGUUAAUCAUAGUUUCAUUCGUAUACGAUUUUUUAAUUUUUGACCUCAAAUCAGGUAAGAACACCCGCUGAACUUAAGCAUAUCAAUAAGCGGAGGA